UUCGCAGGCGGAAUAUUAAGUCAGUGGUGAAAUCCCAGAGCUCAACUCUGGAACUGCCAUUGAAACUGGUAUUCUUGAAUAUAGUUGAGGUAGGCGGAAUGUGUAAUGUAGCGGUGAAAUGCUUAGAUAUUACACAGAACACCGAUUGCGAAGGCAGCUUACUAAGCUAUGAUUGACGCUGAGGUACGAAAGCGUGGGGAGCGAACAGGAUUAGAUACCCUGGUAGUC
RNAcentral lists this ribosomal RNA (228 nucleotides) under uncultured bacterium. Its description in RNAcentral is "partial 16S ribosomal RNA". It matches the Rfam family "Bacterial small subunit ribosomal RNA", at positions 568 to 795 of the family's 1533-position model. The record is from RNAcentral.